RNAcentral lists this ribosomal RNA (496 nucleotides) under uncultured bacterium. RNAcentral describes it as "partial 16S ribosomal RNA". It matches the Rfam family "Bacterial small subunit ribosomal RNA", at positions 29 to 507 of the family's 1533-position model. The record is from RNAcentral.
AUGAACGCUGGCGGCGUGCCUAAUUCAUGCAAGUCGAGCGAACAGACGAGGAGCUUGCUCCUCUGACGUUAGCGGCGGACGGGUGAGUAACACGUGGAUAACCUACCUAUAAGACUGGGAUAACUUCGGGAAACCGGAGCUAAUACCGGAUAAUAUAUUGAACCGCCUGGUUCAAUAGUGAAAGACGGGUUUGCUGUCACUUAUAGAUGGAUCCGCGCCGCAUUAGCUAGUUGGUAAGGUAACGGCUUACCAAGGCAACGAUGCGUAGCCGACCUGAGAGGGUGAUCGGCCGCACUGGAACUGAGACACGGUCCAGACUCCUACGGGAGGCAGCAGUAGGGAAUCUUCCGCAAUGGGCGAAAGCCUGACGGAGCAACGCCGCGUGAGUGAUGAAGGUCUUCGGAUCGUAAAACUCUGUUAUUAGGGAAGAACAAAUGUGUAAGUAACUAUGCACGUCUUGACGGUACCUAAUCAGAAAGCCACGGCUAACUACGUG